This 253-nucleotide ribosomal RNA is filed under the name uncultured bacterium. RNAcentral describes it as "partial 16S ribosomal RNA". It matches the Rfam family "Bacterial small subunit ribosomal RNA", at positions 524 to 776 of the family's 1533-position model. The record is from RNAcentral.
UACGGAGGGUGCAAGCGUUAUCCGGAUUCACUGGGUUUAAAGGGUGCGUAGGUGGGCAGGUAAGUCAGUGGUGAAAUCUCCGGGCUUAACUCGGAAACUGCCAUUGAUACUAUCUUUCUUGAAUACCGUGGAGGUCAGCGGAAUAUGUCAUGUGGCGGUGAAAUGCUUAGAUAUGACAUAGAACACCAAUUGCGAAGGCAGCUGGCUACACGAAUAUUGACACUGAUGCACGAAAGCGUGGGGAUCAAACAGG